UACGUAGACGGAAGAUUAAGUCAGUGGUGAAAUCCCGCAGCUCAACUGUGGAACUGUCAUUGAUACUGGUUUUCUUGAAUUUAGUUGAGGUAGGCGGAAUGUGUAAUGUAGCGGUGAAAUGCUUAGAUAUUACACAGAACACCGAUUGCGAAGGCAGCUUACUAAACUAUGAUUGACGCUGAGGUACGAAAGCGUGGGGAGCGAACAGGAUUAGAUACCCUGGUAGUCC
This 229-nucleotide ribosomal RNA is filed under the name uncultured bacterium. Its description in RNAcentral is "partial 16S ribosomal RNA". It matches the Rfam family "Bacterial small subunit ribosomal RNA", at positions 568 to 796 of the family's 1533-position model. The record is from RNAcentral.